Molecule: ribosomal RNA, 465 nt
Filed under: uncultured bacterium
Lineage: Bacteria
Description: partial 16S ribosomal RNA
Rfam family: Bacterial small subunit ribosomal RNA
Source: RNAcentral
CCUACGGGAGGCAGCAGUGGGGAAUAUUGCGCAAUGGGCGAAAGCCUGACGCAGCGACGCCGCGUGAGGGAUGAAGGUCUUCGGAUCGUAAACCUCUGUCAGCAGGGAAGAAAGGUCACUGUGCUAAUCAGCAGUGAAUUGACGGUACCUGCAAAGGAAGCACCGGCUAACUCCGUGCCAGCAGCCGCUGUAAUACGGAGGGUGCGAGCGUUAAUCGGAAUUGCUGGGCGUAAAGCGGUCGUAGGCGGUAUGUCAAGUAAGGGGUGAAAUCCCCGGGCUCAACGUGGGAACUGCCUUUGAAACUGGCAAACUGGAGUGUGUGAGAGGAUAGUGGAAUUCCAGGUGUAGGGGUGAAAUCCGUAGAUAUCUGGAGGAACAUCAGUGGCGAAGGCGACUAUCUGGCACAUAACUGACGCUGAGGAGCGAAAGCGUGGGUAGCAAACAGGAUUAGAUACCCUUGUAGUC